RNAcentral lists this long non-coding RNA (374 nucleotides) under Chrysemys picta bellii (western painted turtle). Its description in RNAcentral is "lncRNA (ENSCPBG00000027450.1)". The record is from RNAcentral. Lineage: Eukaryota; Metazoa; Chordata; Testudines; Emydidae.
GUUGCACUUCUUGAACCAUUAAUCAGUGACAUACUCAAUGCUGCAUACGUGCCCCUCAUCAAUGGUGCCCUGGAGGUGGGAAUUCCUCUGCCUAAUCUUCUCAACCUGAAGUGGGAGAAUGGUCUUGUCAAAGUCAUUAAUAACGCUCUAUCGGUUAACGCGCUGGCCUAACCCUCCCACAAGGGGCGAGUGUUGGGGACAGCCCGGGGAUGAAGGAGAGAAUUCACGACUGAAGAACCCUGCACUUCCUUCCUUUUGUUCCCCCUGACACUUUGAGUCAAGGCUAUGACGAUAGAAACAAAAUGUUGUUCUGCUUCUGAUCAUUGAAUCAAGCUGUAGAAAAGACUUAGUAGGAAUGAAAUUGUUGCUUAAUU